Molecule: ribosomal RNA, 1372 nt
Filed under: uncultured bacterium
Lineage: Bacteria
Description: bacterial SSU rRNA
Rfam family: Bacterial small subunit ribosomal RNA
Source: RNAcentral
GAUGAACGCUGGCGGCGUGCCUAAUACAUGCAAGUCGAGCGAACGGACGAGAAGCUUGCUUCUCUGAUGUUAGCGGCGGACGGGUGAGUAACACGUGGAUAACCUACCUAUAAGACUGGGAUAACUUCGGGAAACCGGAGCUAAUACCGGAUAAUAUUUUGAACCGCAUGGUUCAAAAGUGAAAGACGGUCUUGCUGUCACUUAUAGAUGGAUCCGCGCUGCAUUAGCUAGUUGGUAAGGUAACGGCUUACCAAGGCAACGAUGCAUAGCCGACCUGAGAGGGUGAUCGACCACACUGGAACUGAGACACGGUCCAGACUCCUACGGGAGGCAGCAGUAGGGAAUCUUCCGCAAUGGGCGAAAGCCUGACGGAGCAACGCCGCGUGAGUGAUGAAGGUCUUCGGAUCGUAAAACUCUGUUAUUAGGGAAGAACAUAUGUGUAAGUAACUGUGCACAUCUUGACGGUACCUAAUCAGAAAGCCACGGCUAACUACGUGCCAGCAGCCGCGGUAAUACGUAGGUGGCAAGCGUUAUCCGGAAUUAUUGGGCGUAAAGCGCGCGUAGGCGGUUUUUUAAGUCUGAUGUGAAAGCCCACGGCUCAACCGUGGAGGGUCAUUGGAAACUGAAAAACUUGAGUGCAGAAGAGGAAAGUGGAAUUCCAUGUGUAGCGGUGAAAUGCGCAGAGAUAUGGAGGAACACCAGUGGCGAAGGCGACUUUCUGGUCUGUAACUGACGCUGAUGUGCGAAAGCGUGGGGAUCAAACAGGAUUAGAUACCCUGGUAGUCCACGCCGUAAACGAUGAGUGCUAAGUGUUAGGGGGUUUCCGCCCCUUAGUGCUGCAGCUAACGCAUUAAGCACUCCGCCUGGGGAGUACGACCGCAAGGUUGAAACUCAAAGGAAUUGACGGGGACCCGCACAAGCGGUGGAGCAUGUGGUUUAAUUCGAAGCAACGCGAAGAACCUUACCAAAUCUUGACAUCCUUUGACAACUCUAGAGAUAGAGCUUUCCCCUUCGGGGGACAAAGUGACAGGUGGUGCAUGGUUGUCGUCAGCUCGUGUCGUGAGAUGUUGGGUUAAGUCCCGCAACGAGCGCAACCCUUAAGCUUAGUUGCCAUCAUUAAGUUGGGCACUCUAAGUUGACUGCCGGUGACAAACCGGAGGAAGGUGGGGAUGACGUCAAAUCAUCAUGCCCCUUAUGAUUUGGGCUACACACGUGCUACAAUGGACAAUACAAAGGGCAGCGAAACCGCGAGGUCAAGCAAAUCCCAUAAAGUUGUUCUCAGUUCGGAUUGUAGUCUGCAACUCGACUACAUGAAGCUGGAAUCGCUAGUAAUCGUAGAUCAGCAUGCUACGGUGAAUACGUUCCCGGGUCU